AACGAACGCUGGCGGUAUGCUUAACACAUGCAAGUCGAACGAGAAAGUCUCUUCGGAGAUGAUUAAAGUGGCGCACGGGUGAGUAACACGUAGAUAAUCUACCCUUCAGCCUGGGACAACCUUCUGAAAAGGGGGCUAAUACCGGAUAAUACAUAAGGUCGAGUGGCCUAAUGUUGAAAGAUUUAUCACUGAAGGAUGAGUCUGCGUACCAUUAGCUAGUUGGUGGGGUAAGAGCCUACCAAGGCUACGAUGGUUAGCGGGUCUGAGAGGAUGAUCCGCCACACUGGAACUGAGACACGGUCCAG
RNAcentral lists this ribosomal RNA (305 nucleotides) under uncultured bacterium. RNAcentral's name for it is "bacterial SSU rRNA". It matches the Rfam family "Bacterial small subunit ribosomal RNA", at positions 29 to 334 of the family's 1533-position model. The record is from RNAcentral.